AUUAGAGUGUUUCAAGCAGACUUGUGUCUUGAAUACUUCAGCAUGGAAUAAUAAAGUAGGACUUUGGUUCUAUUUUGUUGGUUUGUGAACCUUAGUAAUGGUUAAUAGGAACGGUUGGGGGCAUUCGUAUUUAACUGUCAGAGGUGAAAUUCUUAGAUUUGUUAAAGACGAACUACUGCGAA
RNAcentral lists this ribosomal RNA (182 nucleotides) under Babesia gibsoni. RNAcentral's name for it is "partial small subunit ribosomal RNA". It matches the Rfam family "Eukaryotic small subunit ribosomal RNA", at positions 765 to 949 of the family's 1831-position model. Lineage: Eukaryota; Apicomplexa; Aconoidasida; Piroplasmida; Babesiidae. The record is from RNAcentral.